Molecule: ribosomal RNA, 815 nt
Filed under: uncultured bacterium
Lineage: Bacteria
Description: bacterial SSU rRNA
Rfam family: Bacterial small subunit ribosomal RNA
Source: RNAcentral
AGAGUUUGAUCCUGGCUCAGAACGAACGCUGGCGGCAGGCUUAACACAUGCAAGUCGAGCGCCCCGCAAGGGGAGCGGCAGACGGGUGAGUAACGCGUGGGAACGUACCCUCUGGUUCGGAAUAACUCAGGGAAACUUGAGCUAAUGCCGGAUACGGCUGAGAGGCGAAAGAUUUAUCGCCGGGGGAUCGGCCCGCGCCCGAUUAGCUAGUUGGUGGGGUAACGGCUCACCAAGGCGACGAUCGGUAGCUGGUCUGAGAGGAUGAUCAGCCACAUUGGGACUGAGACACGGCCCAAACUCCUACGGGAGGCAGCAGUGGGGAAUAUUGGACAAUGGGCGCAAGCCUGAUCCAGCCAUGCCGCGUGAGUGAUGACGGCCUUAGGGUUGUAAAGCUCUUUCGCCAGGGACGAUAAUGACGGUACCUGGAUAAGAAGCCCCGGCUAACUUCGUGCCAGCAGCCGCGGUAAUACGAAGGGGGCUAGCGUUGUUCGGAAUUACUGGGCGUAAAGCGCGUGUAGGCGGGUCUUUAAGUCAGGGGUGAAAUGCCAAGGCUCAACCUUGGAACUGCCUUUGAUACUGGAGAUCUUGAGUCCGGGAGAGGUGAGUGGAACUGCGAGUGUAGAGGUGAAAUUCGUAGAUAUUCGCAAGAACACCAGUGGCGAAGGCGGCUCACUGGCCCGGAACUGACGCUGAGACGCGAAAGCGUGGGGAGCAAACAGGAUUAGAUACCCUGGUAGUCCACGCUGUAAACGAUGGAUGCUAGCCGUUGGGGAGCUUGCUCUUCAGUGGCGCCGCUAACGCAUUAAGCAUCCCGC